UACGUAGGGGGGCUAGCGUUGUCCGGAUUUAUUGGGCGUAAAGAGCGUGUAGGCGGCCUGGUAGGUCUGCUGUGAAAACUCGAGGCUCAACCUCGAGACGUCGGCGGAAACCAUCUGGCUAGAGUCCGGAAGAGGAGAGUGGAAUUCCUGGUGUAGCGGUGAAAUGCGCAGAUAUCAGGAAGAACACCCGUGACGAAGGCGGCUCUCUGGGACGGUACUGACGCUGAGACGCGAAAGCGUGGGGAGCGAACAGG
This 254-nucleotide ribosomal RNA is filed under the name uncultured bacterium. Its description in RNAcentral is "partial 16S ribosomal RNA". It matches the Rfam family "Bacterial small subunit ribosomal RNA", at positions 524 to 776 of the family's 1533-position model. The record is from RNAcentral.